This 788-nucleotide ribosomal RNA is filed under the name Bacillus cereus. Its description in RNAcentral is "bacterial SSU rRNA". It matches the Rfam family "Bacterial small subunit ribosomal RNA", at positions 35 to 788 of the family's 1533-position model. The record is from RNAcentral. Lineage: Bacteria; Bacillati; Bacillota; Bacilli; Caryophanales; Bacillaceae.
CCUCAGUCCGGCCUCCAAAUACAUGCAAGUCGAGCGAAUGGAUUAAGAGCUUGCUCUUAUGAAGUUAGCGGCGGACGGGUGAGUAACACGUGGGUAACCUGCCCAUAAGACUGGGAUAACUCCGGGAAACCGGGGCUAAUACCGGAUAACAUUUUGAACUGCAUGGUUCGAAAUUGAAAGGCGGCUUCGGCUGUCACUUAUGGAUGGACCCGCGUCGCAUUAGCUAGUUGGUGAGGUAACGGCUCACCAAGGCAACGAUGCGUAGCCGACCUGAGAGGGUGAUCGGCCACACUGGGACUGAGACACGGCCCAGACUCCUACGGGAGGCAGCAGUAGGGAAUCUUCCGCAAUGGACGAAAGUCUGACGGAGCAACGCCGCGUGAGUGAUGAAGGCUUUCGGGUCGUAAAACUCUGUUGUUAGGGAAGAACAAGUGCUAGUUGAAUAAGCUGGCACCUUGACGGUACCUAACCAGAAAGCCACGGCUAACUACGUGCCAGCAGCCGCGGUAAUACGUAGGUGGCAAGCGUUAUCCGGAAUUAUUGGGCGUAAAGCGCGCGCAGGUGGUUUCUUAAGUCUGAUGUGAAAGCCCACGGCUCAACCGUGGAGGGUCAUUGGAAACUGGGAGACUUGAGUGCAGAAGAGGAAAGUGGAAUUCCAUGUGUAGCGGUGAAAUGCGUAGAGAUAUGGAGGAACACCAGUGGCGAAGGCGACUUUUCUGGGUCUGUAACUGACACUUGAGGCCGCGAAAAGCGGUGGGGGGAGCCAAAACAAGGGAUUAAGAUACCCC